Molecule: ribosomal RNA, 484 nt
Filed under: uncultured bacterium
Lineage: Bacteria
Description: partial 16S ribosomal RNA
Rfam family: Bacterial small subunit ribosomal RNA
Source: RNAcentral
AUUGAACGCUGGCGGCAUGCUUUACACAUGCAAGUCGAACGGCAGCGCGGGCUUCGGCCUGGCGGCGAGUGGCGAACGGGUGAGUAAUACAUCGGAACGUGCCCAGUAGUGGGGGAUAGCUCGGCGAAAGCCGGAUUAAUACCGCAUACGACCUGAGGGUGAAAGCGGGGGAGCUUCGGACCUCGCGCUAUUGGAGCGGCCGAUGGCAGAUUAGCUAGUUGGUGGGGUAAAGGCCUACCAAGGCGACGAUCUGUAGCUGGUCUGAGAGGACGACCAGCCACACUGGGACUGAGACACGGCCCAGACUCCUACGGGAGGCAGCAGUGGGGAAUUUUGGACAAUGGGCGAAAGCCUGAUCCAGCAAUGCCGCGUGUGUGAUGAAGGCCUUCGGGUUGUAAAGCACUUUUGGCGGGAACGAAAAGGACUGUGCCAAUACCACGGUUCGAUGACGGUACCCGAAGAAUAAGCACCGGCUAACUACGUG